CAGCAGCCGCGGUAAUACCGGCGGCCCGAGUGGCGGCCACUAUUAUUGGGCUUAAAGCGUCCGUAGCCGGGUUGGUUAGUCUCCCGGGAAAUCUGGCCGCUUAACGGUCAGAAUUCCGGGAGAUACUGCCAGCCUAGGGACCGGGAGAGGCCGAGGGUAUUCCCGGAGUAGGGGUGAAAUCCUAUAAUCCCGGGAGGACCACCUGUGGCGAAGGCGCUCGGCUGGAACGGGUCCGACGGUGAGGGACGAAGGCCAGGGGAGCAAACCGGAUUAGAUACCCGGGUAGUCCUGGCUGUAAACGAUGCGGACUUUGUGUCGGACAAGCUAUGAGCUUGUCCGGUGCCGGAGGGAAACCGUUAAGUCCGCCGCCUGGGGAGUACGGCCGCAAGGUUGAAACUUAAAGGAAUUGGCGGG
This 414-nucleotide ribosomal RNA is filed under the name uncultured microorganism. Its description in RNAcentral is "bacterial SSU rRNA". It matches the Rfam family "Archaeal small subunit ribosomal RNA", at positions 459 to 872 of the family's 1478-position model. The record is from RNAcentral.